This 433-nucleotide ribosomal RNA is filed under the name uncultured bacterium. Its description in RNAcentral is "partial 16S ribosomal RNA". It matches the Rfam family "Bacterial small subunit ribosomal RNA", at positions 29 to 507 of the family's 1533-position model. The record is from RNAcentral.
AACGAACGCUGGCGGCAUGCCUAACACAUGCAAGUCGAACGAGACCUUCGGGUCUAUUGGCGCACGGGUUCGUAACGCGUGGGAACCUUCCCUCAUGUUCGGCAUACCUCUCCGAAAGGGGUGCUAAUACCGGAUAGUAUCUUCUGCCCAAGGAUUUAUUGCCGUUGGUUGGUCCCGCGUUGAAUUAGCUAGUUGGUAGGGUAAAAGCCUACCAAGGCGACGAUGCAUAGCUGGGAUGAGAGGAUGAUCAGCCACACUGGGAGUGAGACACGGCCCAGAAUCCUACGGGAGGGAGCAGUGGGGGAUAUUGGACAAUGGGCGAAAGCCUGAUCCAGCACGGACGCGUGAGUGAUGAAGGCAUUAGGGUUGUAAAGCUCUAUUAACCGGGAAGAUAAUGACAGUACCGGGAGAAUAAGCUCCGGCUAACUACGUG